RNAcentral lists this long non-coding RNA (13981 nucleotides) under Homo sapiens (human). RNAcentral describes it as "HSALNT0386433". Lineage: Eukaryota; Metazoa; Chordata; Mammalia; Primates; Hominidae. The record is from RNAcentral.
UCCUUUAUACUACAACAAUCCACAAAUACUGUUAUUUGCCCUUACACAUGAUGCAGUACUAAACUUUCUUUGCUUUGCCCAUACUGUUCCCACCUUCUGGAAUGACUUCCUUCACUAUCUUUGGAUAGUAAACUUUUACUCAUCCUUCAAAAACCUGUUCAGGCUAUUCUGAGAGAUCUUCCCUCAUUGUUCCAAAUAAAGAUGAUUUCUAUAUCUCCAAAACCUGAUCUAUAUCUUUACUAUUACUGCAUGAAACAAUAAGACAAAUAAGCACACAAAAGUCUUGCCUGUAGAGUCUUAUCUCAUCUUUAUAUAUCCAGAUCUCAGCACGAUGUUUGGCAUAUAGUGUAUACUCCAUCCUUAUUUGUUGAAUUUAACUGAAUUCCUCUUCCCAGGUACAAGGUAUAGGAGGUAUUUGGGAGUUUAAAACAAACCACAACAUUAUGUUAGCAACUCAUGAAUUAGUACUAAAUUUUUUAUGAUGUUUGUUUUUGUUUGUUCGUAAAAAUGCACUUAUCUUACCAAAAAAGACAAAACAAAAAAAUACAAAAAAGUUCCUUGAUCUCCUUAACCAGAAAAAUUGCUUUCAACAGUAUGGGCCAAUGCAGAUCUAUGAUCAUGUUUAUAUCUAUACAGACAUAUAUAAAUACUCUUAUAUAAUCCAGAAAUAGAGCUUUGUUAGAUUUUUUUAAGAGAUUUGCUUUGAAUAGUAGGAAUGAGUUAUCGUUUGUAGAAAAAAGAUGACACGAUGGAGAAAUAAGUAUUCCCUCCUGAUGGAACAAGACAGUGAGGCUUGCUGAAAUCCAUUUAGCACAAUCAGUUGGUCUAUUAUUUCCCAAUUAUGAAAGUGGAGAAAUGAGAUAUUUAAUCAGGACAUAUUUUAGAAAGUUGUAACAUAUUUGCUUACUUCCCUAAGGCUUGUAAUGAAGAGCUCUUAAUAUUUCAUUUUCAUUAUUACCAGAAGAGAAGAGUUAUAAUAAAAACUCUCCUUGUGGUCUUGAUCCCAAAGCAAAAGAGAAUUUCAGCAUCUCUAGGUCAUCUGAGCAAUGACCCUCACAGUGAAACUAGGUGGAGAACUACUGGAGAUCAGGAUUCUGGAUCCAUUUCCCAGUCCAUUGCCAUUCUUUGUCUUUGCCAAUAAUCUCUACUUCUAACUCACAGGACAUCUUGUAUUUAGAAUCUCUUCUGUGCUUGGAAGGUUACGGAAAAUAAUCAUUCCCAUAUGCAUGCUAAAGUGGACACCUUCCACUGAACACCGAACUCCUCCCUAAGUUCAGGACUGACAGCCACAGAUGAGUAAACUGAGGCACAUUUGCGAAAACAUCAGGAAGAGAUUGGAGUAUGCCAUCUUUAAGAUCUUUUUAAGCUAAAAAUUAUCUCAUUUAAUUAGUGCCCCAAUAUUAUCUGCUGGAACAAAGGUGUAAUCAUUGAACCAGGGAAUAUCAUCAAAGACCAAAAUGCUGAUUGUGACUUAUUACUAAUUUUGGCUGCCAAAUCCUUCGUUUUUUGAGAGGUUAGACUUACCUCUGUUAGAUCUAGGUUAUAGCUAAUUGUGUUCUGUUCCUAAACAGAUUAAGAUCACAUUGCUGAGAAUUGGGAAUAAUUGUAGAAUGCAUAAACAAAUUACUGCUCUCUGGAUAAAAAACACAAAUUUCUCAAUGUCUUGUUCUCAUAUUCCAGGUCUUAGACUAGUCAUGCCCAAAAAAAGCUUUCACUGAUACAGCGAAGGUAAGGGUGAGUGCAGCCCUCAGGAUAUCUAAGUCAAACCAGACAGGGCUGCCUGCUUCCCAUUUCCAGUGUGGUCUGCGGUGGUGUGUCUGAUAAGAACGGACAAAAAGCAGAAAGCAUGAUCACUGUGAUGAAAAAUGAGAAGUGAAGAACAACCAGGUCCCAGCAACCCCUGACACAGUGGCCCUGGAUAGCUAAAUUUCAGCCAUUCCUAAACAUCGAAUGGGAAGGAACAGGUUCAAUUCAUUAGGUGUUUUCAACCUGCUUUUUCUUUUUAAUAUAUGUAUACUGUGAAAAGAGGGUCAGUUUGUGUUUGGAAAAACCAAUAUAUUUAUUUGCAUUUAGCUGUCAUCUAUUGGGAGAGAAGUAAAAUUAAAGCAUGGAAAGGAGAAUUAUUUGAAAACGCAAACUAGUAUAAGCAGGAGAGGGCAAAACUUUGCAUAGUUUCUUUAAAAUAAUGUCUUUUAAAGGUCAUCUAAUGGGGUGUGAGUGUGUGUGAAAAACACACUGGUUUAUUCACCAAAAAGAGCCCAAUCUGGCAUGUAGCAUAGCUUUCUCACAAUCCAGGGAAGAGGGACCAGGGACUUUGGAAGCUGAACAGAGCAGAGUAGGUCUAAGUGUCUGUCCUCACAUGGACAUCUGAAGUCUCACUCAGAUUUCAUUCUCAUUCUCCCCUCCCUUUCUCUUCGCUCUUUCUCUCCCUCCAUCUCCAUCUUUAACUCUGUCUUUUUCAAUCUAUUUUCACAAAGGAUCCUGGCUGCAUCCUGUCUCAGUCCUUUGUGUCCUAACAGGAAAAUCUCAAUCCCUCCUUUCUUGACUCUUGAUCCCGUCCUGGCAAGCUUCCAAUUCAAAGAUGUCUCAAUUAGCUAAGCAUGAAGACACAGGACAGACCAAAUGCUUCUUUAAAUACUGAAUCCUUCUUAUAAAGUAACUUUGACUUGAAAUAAGAUCUACAGAUUAGAUAACAGCAUUUUGUCAAUAUUAUUAAUCUCCUGAUUUUGAUCAUUGGGCUCUAUUUAUGUAAGAGAAUGUCUUUAUUUUCAAAGAUACAUACCAAAGUAUUUGAGGUUAAAGGGACAUCAUAGCUGGAAAUUUUUUAACAUUUAUUUUAAAAGUUCAGGAGUACAUGUGCAGGAUGUACAGGUUACAUAGAUAAACAUGUGUCAUAGGGAUUUGUUGUACAGAUUAUUUCAUCACCUAGGUAUUGAGCCUAGUAUCCAUUAGUCAUUUUUCCUGAUUCUCCCCUUCUUCCUAUUCUCUGCCCUCCAGUAGGCCCCAGUGUGUGUUGUUCCCCUCUAUGUGUCCAUGUGUUCUCAUCAUUUAGCUCCCACUUGUGAGAACAUGCAGUAUUUGGUUUUCUGUUCCUGCAAUAGUUUGCUAAGAAUAAUGGCCUCCAUCUCCAUCCAUGUCCCUACAAAGGACAUCCUCUGUUCUUUUUUGUGGCUGCAUAGUACUCCAUGGUGUAUAUGUACCAUAUUUUCUUUAUCCAGUCUAUCAAUGAUGGGCAUUUGAUUCCAUGUCUUUGUUAUUGUGAAUAGUUCUGCAAUGAACAUACAUAUGCAUGUGUCUUUAUAAUAGAAUGAUUUAUAUUCUUUUAGGUAUGUACUCAGUAAUGAGAUUGCUAGGUCAAAUGGUAUUUCUGUCUAGGUCUUUGAGGAAUCACCACACUGUCUUCCACAAUGGUUGAACUAAUUUACACUCCCACCAACAGUGUAAAGGCAUUCCUUUUUCUCCACAACCUCAUCAGCAUCUUUUAUUUUUUGACUUUUUGAUAAUAGCCAUUCUGACUGGUGUGAAAUGGUAUCUCACUGUGGUUUUGAUUUGCAUUUCUCUAAUAAUUAGUGAUUUGGGGCUUUUUUCCAUAUGAUUGUUGGCUGCAAGUAUGUCUUCUUUUGAGAAGUGUCUGUUCAUGUCCUUUGCCCACUUUUUAAUGGGGUUGUUUUUUUCUUGUAAAUUUAAGUAGCUUGAAUUAUUUUCAAAUGUUUUCGAAGAAAAACCAUGUAUAUAUAGAAAAAGAAAGCCAAUGUGACAAAAUGUUAACAUUUGGAAUACCUGGGUGAACAAUAUCUGGAAUUUUUUGUAUUAUUCUUCCAACUUUUCUGUCAUUUUGAAGUUAUUUCAAAAUAAAAAAUUAAAAGGGGCUCUUCUAUAUUUUUAAAAAUUAUCAUUUUUAUUUGUUAUCACAGUAAAGAUCCUCUUUACCCAGUGAUUCUACUGGGGAAGAUGAUUGAAAAGCAAGGAGCUAUACCCUGACACAACUCAAACCAAACAUAUUAUUAUAUAACACACACAACCAAAAUCGCAUUCUAGAAACCUGGACAAAUUUUUCCAUAAAACUUAAAAUGAAGUUGUUCUCAUCUUUUCAUUUGCCCAUUAAUUUAGUCAUAGAAUAUUUAUUGAAUACCUCCUGUUCAAAAUGAUCAAAAAUGCUCUGGUGCUCACAGGCUGCAAAGGAGACACACACAGUCACUUCCAGGACUGCAUGGUAAGUGUUAAAACAGGUUCUAUGGAAGAUAGAGGCAAGGAACGCCUGUAAUCCCAGCACUUUGGGAGGCUGAGGCAGGCAGAUCACUUGAGGUCAGGAGUUUGAGACCAGCCUGGCCAACAUGGUGAUACCCUGUCUCUACUAAAAAUACAAAAAUAGCCGGGCGCGGUGGUGCGCACCUGUAAUCCCAGCUACUCAGGAGGCUGAAACAGGGGAAUUGCUGGAACCUGGGAGACAGAGGUUGCAGUGAGCCAAGAUUGCACCACUGCACUCCAGCGGGGGUGACAGUGAGACUCCGUCUCAAAAAGAAAAAAAAAAGAAACGAAAAUAGAGACAAGGCAACCUUUGCCCAGUCUUUUAAGGGAUCAGAGAGGCCUUCCUAAAAAGGGGAUGUUUAAUAUGAGAUCCCUAGGGAAAGAGGAGUUGGCUAGAUGAAGGAGGUAUGUGUCAGCAUGGGAGAGCAAUAAUAUCCCAAGAUGUGAAAAGACUGGGGCCUAGCAUUGGGGAUGGAGAAGAGGGGAGGCUCUAGCUUACAAAACAGCUAAAACUGAAGAGUCAAACAGAAGCUUUAUAUGCUCUACUGAUGGUUGGGAAUUUUAUUCUGAAUACUACAGGAUUUUUAAGCAAAGGAGUAACUUGCAAAAAUUAUUUUUUAUAAUUUUAAUUUUGUUACUGAUGGAAGUACUGAUUUGAGAAGAGCAGAAAUGGAGCUCAGGAGACCAUUUAAAUGACUCCACACCAAGGCAAAUUAAAUGACCUUACAUCAUUUCUGUCUUCUGGAACCAACUCUUUUAAGUCAAAUGGACAAACUCAUGUACCCCAUAUCAGGUAGAUGAUAAAGCCAGGUGUUCACACUCUAAACCCGCUUGAGAUCAUCACUGUGGGCUCAACUUCCAUGAUGGCUUUGCUAUCCUUGCUCUAAAUCCUGUGUCUGAUUCUGGGAGUUGACCCCAUAUCCCUUUACAAACCCACUGUCCCUUCUAACCUUCUCUUAACCCUUCACCUCUUGCUAUGAAAGUCAGUAAAAUGACAACAUCGCAAUGAAGCCAAAAUUAUAUUGCUUAAAGCCAUAAAACUAAAUAGAAACCAGGUUAUCAAAAUAGACUUUUCAACGAAGGUUAUUGCUUCACUGGGCUUCACAAAUGAAACCAGAAAUACCUCUUAUGGUCAGUCCAACUCACAUAUUACAAAUACUGAAAUGCCCUUUGUCUGCCAGGUGAACUUUUAAUGAUACCUUAAGACCCAAAUCAAAGAAUACCUAUUUGGUAACACUUCUCUGAAUGGCCCCCACCCCAAAAAGGUGAGACAUUCACUCCUGUGUUCUUACAGUACUUUGUGCUUGCUUCUUAAAUACAUGGCUCCAAACCCUAGCUUUGCAACUGAUUUUUGGGCAAUGCUGAUCAUGUUUCUUCGCAUCAGUAAAGCAGAGAGAAAAACAGAAUUUACUUCCUAGUGUCAAAUGAAAUAAUCACUAAUGAAUUCUUGCCUGGGUCCCCAGUACAUGAAAAUAACAGCUAGUGGUUGUGAAGAGCUUACUAUGGUGUCAUUUAUAAUUUCCCCCACUAAAACAGGAGCUCCUUUAGUGAAAGAGACUUAAUUACCUAUGAAUCCUUACUAUCUAACAAGCAGUCUGGCAUGUAGAGGGAGCUCCAUACAUACUUGUGGAGGGCAUGAAUGAGUGGGUCUAAGCGGGAUAUCCGAUGAUCAGUGUCCACUGCCACAAAUAAAUUAAAGCCCUGGUUCUUGGCAGAUUCCCGGUGAUGAAGUGUCUGGGUUGGUUCACACAGCCACAGGUUGAGCUCCAGCUCAGCGAGCCUGCUGAGUCGUUUCUGCACACCGACUAUCUCUGACUGCUCUUCAUCCCAAUCGCUGGCUUAAUCACCUCUGCUGGCUUCUUUCCUGCGUCUUGGGGAGUGAAAAAGUUUCUGCUACUAAAAGAAUGACUGCCUGUGAUCCCAUCCUUUCCAUUUGGACAGUCUCCUAUUAUUGUCGAUUCUCCCCUUGCUUUAACAAGUGGCUUCCGCUUCAUCACAAAGCAUUCUGUGCUUAUAUCUCUCUUUAUCUCUGUGUGGAGUGGAGCAGAGCAGAGAGAGUUCCUCCCUGCCCACAUUGUGCUGACACUGAAAGAGACACAAUCAUCAGGCGGGGAGGAAAGGUGGCUUUUGAAUCAGAACAAAUGCAUCCCAGCUCAAUUCUAUGCUUCGUUUAAUUAGGAAUCAAUUGGCUCUGGCCACCAUGACUGAGUUCCUCUUUUCAUAGGAAACCAGAACUCACUCACUCUCUUUACUUGUAGGAGAAGUGCAGAGACACAAGGAAGAACUGAGUGGAGUUUGGAAUAAAAAGCAGCAUCUUGCAGAAGGAGAAUCAGAGUGACCAAAAAUACAUAUAAACAAAGAUGAUAUAAUGAGGAAAUUAAUCCCAAUCCCAAAAAUGUAUUAAACACCUGUUAUUGAUAUGUGCUAGGAACUGUGCUAGAAUCUGGGGGUGCACCUUUAAAUAAGAUUAGUUACUGCAUUCAAGAAAUUUGGUGAAAUAAAAAUCAUAUGAUUAUUGGGAGUAACUUACAUUAUUUAGCUUGAGAAGGGAAAGCAGAAGAGGUGCCAUGAGGCUUGUCUCAAAAUACAUGAUGGGGUGUAGAAGUGAGCUUCCUCCAAGCCCCUUAAAAUCAUCUACAAAACGCUACCCUAUCUUGCAACAUCAUUGUAAAUGGGAGUUUCAUAGGGCUGUACCUGAAAGCACCUAAAAUCACAGCACUCCUGAGAAACGGUAAUGUAUAAGUGCCUAACUUUGUCGCUGCCAGUGAUCCUCCUCCUUCUACCCCCAAGCCAAAGAGAGAGAUUCAUGUGCUUGUAUUAAUAAAAAAUAAAUAUUGGUAUACCAGUAUUUAUAAAUAUUGGUAUACCAGUAUUUAUAAAAUACCAAUAAAUAUUGAUAUUUUAAAAUACCAAUGCUUUUAUUGGUAACAUCCUAAGAACACGGGAAAUGAAGACUAGGAUACACAGCUUGAUAGGAGCAGAACUAGAAGCUGAUCAUCUUUCACACGACCUCAGGAAGUGUGACUUCAGCUGUCAUAUGGGGGCUUUCCAGCCACAAAGUGUCAUUGUCAAGAGUUGCAACCUUUUACUUCAUCUCUUUAAAUUCACACUUCAUACCAUUUGUCACACCCAAUGGCUCAGAACCAACUCCAAGUUAGCACAGCCCCUCUACUUGAAUGUUUGUGACUGUCUCUAUUUCUGGGUCACCUGGCUUCACAGCUCUCUUCCUCACUGUCUUCCUCCUUCUGAAUUAACAAACUGACUUCAGAGGCAAGGCGAGACUUGGCUUGGGACCCAGAUGGCUGUGAGCACACAUUUAUUAGUCAUAACUCUUAGAAUUGCAAAUUAAUGAAGAUUCAACUCAAAGUAACAUAAGUAAAACAGGGGAAUUGUUCAAUCAUGUAAUGGAAAAAGGCUAGUAGGAGAGUUGGUUUUAAGCUUAUCCCUCUCUAUCUGUCCACCUGUCUAUGGAUCUCUAUCUCUCUGCCUCUCUUUCUUUCCCCAUGCCCUGGCUCCACUUUCAUCUGUGUACAUUUCAUACUCAAACAGGAGCUCUCCAUGUGGUCUCUGGAAGCUCCCGUCUUUCAUCUUUAAACUAUAAAAGCAGCACAAAGGACUGCCAACUUCCUUCCAAUCUCCCCGGUAACAGUCAAAGUAUUAGCUCUGAUUGGAUUAACUAGGGCAUGUGCCCAUUCCUGAAGAAAAUGCUGUCGCACCAGGGAUUGGAUCAACUGAUGGCCAGGCUGGUCAUUCACACACCCCUGAGCUGAAGGUGUGUCACCUCUUGGUCCAAGAGAGGAGAUGCUGUGCUUCCUAAAUGAGUCUCCAGAAGCUGUUAUUAGUGGGACUAAUGAAUGCUGAGAAGAGAAAGGAAAAAGCCAGAAAUUUCCCCUGAGUUCCCACAUUGGAACAUGCCAUCCUAGCUGAGCCUGUAGCUUUCAACUAUUUGAGAGGGCAAGCAAGAAACAAAGGCACCUGAACCCAAUUUUAGGUGUAUAAGACUCGGUUUGUUUCCUGUAGCUCAUCAUCCUCUUAUGUCUUCUGAAAGGAAAAACUGAUAGAAAGUGAGGGUGAGAGAAUACACAACAGCGGGAAGGACAUCAGUUCUCCAUCUUUUGUGAGAUCAGUGACAUCAGAUGUUAAUAGAGGCAAAAUAUGACAGAUCCAGAUGACAACUGCUGGCAGGACUGUGGGGCUGUUCUAGCAGGAAGCUCUCACUUCGUUUUCCUUUAGGACAAGCACACCGAUGCAGAGCUGGACUAUCUGCACAAACAAAUAAGUUGUUUCUGAAUUGUAAGUGCUAUAAAGAGGAUUAUAAUGAGGAUUUGAACUUCAGAGUCUAGCUUAACUUUGGAUAUGAGAAAGAAACUAACCAUCACCUUUUCAAACCUGAAUUGUCUCUCUUUACUUCUCCAAUCAAUUACAAAGGUCAUGGAUAUGGAGAAAUUGGAACCCGGAUGGUUUAGUUCAUAUGAAAAUAUAUAAAAUAUAUUUCCACAGCAGAAAGAAAUCUUGUCAAAGCAUUUUUGAGUGGAUUUUUGUUGCUGUUGUUCUGUUUGGUUUGCUUUUUCAUUUUAUCUGCUGCUUCCCAAUGUCCCAUCACCUAAGGGUCACUUUAUUGUACAUUAUUUCAUCCAUGGCUCUACUACUGGGAUCUUCAUAUGGUGCAUUUAUGGAAACUCAUAAAUUUUUUGUUUUCAUGGCACAAAGUGGAAUUUCUAAUAACAAUAAUGUUUUAAAUACUAUCAAUCUCAUCAUUAUCAUUAUCAAUACCAAAAACUAUAAAAUAAAAACGUAGUACAAGUUUUUAUACUAAGUUUAAUAGCCAUAUUGAUGAGUGUUUGCAACGCAUCAUGUUCCCUGUAAGCACUUUAUCUGUAUUGCCCAAAGUAAGUUUUACAGCAAAACUAUGAAGCCAACACUUUUUUUUAAUCAUCACAUUAAAAAACAAAAAUUGAUACUCAGAAGCCAAUGCCUCAACCAGUAGAGGCAGCUAGUGUGUCCUCCCCAACCUGUUCCAGGUCCCUCUCAGCAAACACACAUCUUCUGUUCCUUUCCUCUGCCUGCUGCGCUCUCUCCAGCAUUUGCAACUGCUGCUCUGUAUUCUUAAUGCUCUGUCAGGAAAGCUAUGUUUUCAGGGCAUAAUCUCCGUGGCCAUAAGUGGUGACCUAUCCCCAUGUGGCUAACUUCCACCACCUGGCUAACUUCUACUCAUGACCUUAGAAUAAAAGUCGCCAUCUCAGAGUGGCCACUUUCAACGUCCCCUCUUUUUUUUUUAAAACAGUUUCACUCUGUCGACCAGGCUGGAGUGCAAUGGCAUGAUCACAGCUCACAGCAGUGUAGACUUCCCAGGCUCCAGCGAUCCUCCCACCUCAGCCUCCAAAGUAGCUGGGACCACAAGCGCAUGCACCACGCCUGGCUAAGUUUUGUAUUUUUUUGGAGAUGAGAGUUGCCGAGGCUGAUCGCGAACUCUUGGGCUCAAGAGAUCUACCUGCCUGAGCUUCCCAAAAUGCUGGGAUUUCAGGCGUGAGCCACCGUGCCUGACCAGCAUUCCCUCCUCUUUGUAAUGUACAGAGUGGGCAGAGAUUAUCCAGCACUUUCUUCCAUGAGACUUGAAGUUUUGCUCGACUUUCACCUAGAGGUGUGUCCUCUGCAUUCAGCUCAGUUUCAGUCAUCUACUACAUAUUGCUGAAUAGAAAAGUGACUAUAGUCACUUCCCAGGUGGGUGGCAGGAUGCCGGAGACCACUGUACUCUAAGCAGUUUCUCAGGACUUCCUCCAUCUCCCAUGGCCAUUUUCCAAUCCCUUUCUUUGCUAAGCUUUACCUCCUUGACUUGAAAACUAUGGUUCUAUCCCACAUGUUAUUUUCUUAAAUACCUACAGGAGUAUGGAAAAAUAAUAGAAAUGUUUAAAGUCAACCGAUCACAAAUAGGAAUAUGUGAAGAAUCUGACAAACUAGAGCAUGCAUGUCCUUUCUAAUAGGGAUAUUUGUUGCCCUAAGGAUUGAGAGCCCAAUAUUCACCAGAACUCCCAAAUAUUCAAGGGAAGUCAGAAAUAUUGAGUUUUAGUUUUAUAUGUAAAAAUCUGUCACUAUUUUAGUAUCAUGUACAAGAUAUAUGACAUGGCACAACUAUUUAACCCCUCUUUGCCUCUAUUUCCUCAUCUGUAAAGUGGGAACAAUGUUGGAACCUAACUCUCAAGGCUACUAUGAGAUAUAAAUUAUUUGAUAUUUAUGAAGAGUUUAAAGCAGUUCUUGGUGUAUGGUAAGUGUGUACAUACAUAUUUGAAUAUGUAUCAUCUAAUGAAUAUGUAAUAUUCAAUUUCAUGUUAAAUACAUAAUUGAACAUUGAAUUUAUAAUUUAAUAACAACAAAAAAAAAUACCUGUUUAAAGAAAGACACUGUGCAACCAAACGAAACAUGUCUACAGGCCACUUGUGGCCUACAGGUUAUCAGAUUUGAAGUGCUGUUUAUAUUUUAACUUUUUAACAUAUAUUUUAUUGUAGAGACAGGGUCUAGCUAUGUUGCCUAGGCUAAUCCUCCCACCUUGGCCAGCUUAUACUUUAACUGAAAGCUUCAUCUUGAACCACCUCUGGAUCUGGUCCACCUCCUGACUCUUUUCUCCUACAUCGUUUCAAAAAUAGCCCUUUCUCUGACCCUAGAGUCAACAAUUUUCUUAAGUCAUGGCUGCUCAGCUCACCCCUUAGUCUCAAGAAUACCCAAGAGGGACAGUUUAUAAUAGCUGCUUUUUCCCCCUACCCAUGGAGAUGCAAACUUCACCCUAAAAAGCAAGCUCUGAGGCUUCCUAGGCCUCAGAGGGGUCUCUAUCAACCGCAACCCACUUUUCCAUCAAUCUUAUCUGUAAUAUUUUCGGAUCGUGCCUGCCACCCUGAAGCCAGCUGCAUUAUCUGCAAUCAGCAGCAUGGUAGGGAUGGAGGAUAAGCUUGUUCUCAGCAAGCAAGUUGAGAACAGGGCUAAAAAUAACCAUUUUCAAAUUAAAUUCUUGAAUUGGAAAGGAAAAGAGAGAGGAUAAACAGGACACAGUAUGGCAGGUUUUAUUUAUUUACACCAAUGAAUCAAAGAUAAAGGAAGGAAAAAGGCGUUUUGAAGAAUUUGGGCGUAUGGCAGAAUUGUUUCCAUCUCUGGUAAUGUUGUCAAAACACCAAUGAUGAUGCAAAGCAAAUGCCUGUCAGACAAACCCAAAGGAAGCUUAUUUACACGUUUGGGAUGAGCAGGGUUGUAAAUGAUGGUUUAAUUGGGAAAAUCUGCUUAGUCAUUUGAACAAGCAGACCUAAAAACAGACAUAACAUAGUGCUGCAAGGAAAACAAAUGUAAGAGAAUUUCUCUUUCAUUGCUUUACUCUAAUGCAUUUCCUGCUUUCCUCCUCCCUCUCUCUAUUCCAUUUUCAUUUCCAUUAGAUAAAAAACUUCUCAGCAUUUUCCAGGCUGCCCUUAACCUUUCUGACUUGCUUACUUGGGGCCUGUAGAAGACAAAGCACUCUUUCAAUGACUGGAGACAGGCACUAGGCAGUACCCAAUGCACGUAGACUGGCCUCUGGGGCUGAAAAUGUAGCUUCCUAAAAACAAACAGUACAGAGGCUGAUGGAUUAGGGAAGGUGUAUAGAACAUUCAAUUUGAUGCCUAGCAAAUAAAAAGCAUUCAAUAAAUAUUAGUUUCCUUACCUGCCACUCAAUAGGGAACUGGCAUUUAUUAUUAAAAAAAUCACCUACUCACAUCUAUAAUAAAAUUUUUUGACUGGGAAGGAUUAUAUCAGUACAGUAACCAUGAUUAUUUCUGGGUAGGAAGUUAUUGAUACAGUUUCCUGCUUUAUAUUUUAAUUUAUGCUUUUCAAAUUUUCUGCAAAGAUUAGCCACGCAUGGUGGUGGCAACCUCUAAUCCCAGCUACUCGAGAGGCUGAGGCAGGAGAAUUGCUUGAACCUGGGAGGGGGAGGCUGCAGUAGGCCGAGAUCGCACCACUGCACUCCAGCCUGGGCAACAAGAGCGAAACUCCAUCUCAAAAAAAAAAAAAAAAUACUCUGCAAUGACAAAUUAGAAAUAAAAUGAUUUUUAAAUCAAAAAUUCUGAAUGCUAUUUUAUUAAAUGUAAGUCAUUUUCUAGCCUUAUAAUCACCUAUUCCCAUUCACUGACCUAACUGUCUAGUAAAAGGUAAUUCAUUAAUGAUCUUGAAAACUAAAGUUUUAGUUUUGUCAGUCUUUUCAAAACUGUCCAGAAACUGGCAUUUUGCAAAGUUUUCAAUGAUGAGAGGUUGGCACUACUGCCAACCAUAAACUAAAUUUGACUUGAAGUGGUUGUAAUCUCCCAAAACACACAAAAAAAAUACAGAAAUAUAUAAAAGGAUUAGUAGGGCACGAACAAUUUAUUUCAUCAUUUCAGCCAUUAUUUCUAGGAAAGCCUUUUUGUUAUCUGUAGCAGAUAUUUGUGAUGAAUUGUGCCAUACAUAUCCCCUCUGCACACCUAAUUUCAGUACUGAUGUGGUGGGCAGCUCUGUGCCUCUUUGCCAAUGUCCAUGGUGUCCUACUGUAUCGCUUUCUCAAAAGCUGGGAAAAGUAGCUUAGCCACAUGUAGGUGCAACCCAGAAAUGUGAGGGAGUCUAUGCCCCUCAAGGUAAUCCUCAUCCAAUGGGGGAUAAAAUCUAUGGAUAAAUGUCCCAGCUUCCUUGUCCUCCCGUAGGACAAUUCUAAGCAGUAACCAGCUCGUUAACACGUACUUUACAGUUGUUGUUGUUUUUUUCCCUUUCUUGUCUGUCUCUCUUUCCUUAUUCUUGCACUUCCACUUUCUGUGAUUGCCUCCAAAACAAACUCCCUGAAUCUUAGUCAGUUUGGGGUGUUCUAACAGAAUACCACAGACUGGUGACUUAGGCAGCAAACAUUUAAUUCCCACAAGUUCUAGAGGAUAGAAGUUCAAGAUGAGGGUGCCAGCAUGGUUAGGUCUUUCUUGGAGGCCCUCUUCCUGGUUUACAGAUGGCUGCCUUCUUGUUAUAUCCUCAUUUGCCAGAAGGAGAGAGAGAUAUCAUGUCUCUCUCUCUUUAUAAGCUCAUUAAUCUCAUCAAGUGGACCCCACCCUCAUGACCUAAUCUAACCCUAAUUACCUCAUAAAAGCCCCACCUUGGAAUGCCAUCACAUUGAGGAUUAGAGUUUCAACAUAUCAAUGCUGGGGUUAAACACACAUUCCACCCAUAGCAUCCUGCAUCAAGUCCUCAUCUCAGUGUCAACUUUAAGUGCCUGGAAGAACCAGAAUCCUAGGAGCAUGGAAGACUUAAUUCAUUCAACAGUAACCACCUCUUUUUAGCCUAAGACUUUGGCAGCCGAACAACAGAACAGGAAUUAUGUCAGCUUUUCUGCUUAGCAUGAGCUCUGCCCCAGAACCAAUGACAUAAAAUACGUAUGUUUGCUUUCCCUGCCACAAAGUUGCGACACAUUAUCAAAGCUUUACAAAGUCACUCUAUCUUAGGACACCCCUAGACAACUUGUUUCCAUCUUACUUCUGGGACAAAAAUAUUUACUGUAUCCUGCUUUCAUUGUCUUUGUGAAUAUUACAUUAAAUGUUGACAUGUGCUUGGCAAUUCAAAUUCAUUGGUUAAAUGUUUUUCUCCUCUCAAAAUUAUUUUUAAUAUAAUAGUCUAAUAAAUAUGAAUCCAAGAUUCCUUACUAAACAUGUGACUUUGCCUUGUCCAACCUCAGUAUUUUGUUCUAUAAAACGCAAGUAACUAGGCAACU